GUGCUCCUCUCUUUAUUUGAAAUUUUGGUAAAUUUUCGGAAUUCUCUAUUUUAUUAAUUUAUUGUCAUUACAUAUUUUAUGUAAAAAUGUCUGUACCAGGUCAGGAAUAUGACAGUUGCUGUCCAUUCGCUCGAUGUGUUUUAUCAUUUAAUUUUGCAUUUGAUUAGGGAAUUUCCUUUUUGAAUUUUCCUCGAAGUUCAGUUUUUUUUAGUGAUUCUACUAUUUACCCGUACUUUCCUUUGAACAAAACUAUAACAAAACAAUAUUUAAAAAUCUUAUAAAAUCCUUGUUACAUUUUUAUAGUUUUUGACAGAAAAUAGUGCCAUUGGUAAACGCAAGAAAAUCGAGAGAGAGAACAAUAUCC
Molecule: long non-coding RNA, 364 nt
Filed under: Mytilus galloprovincialis (Mediterranean mussel)
Lineage: Eukaryota; Metazoa; Mollusca; Bivalvia; Mytilida; Mytilidae
Source: RNAcentral